UCAGCAUUCAAACGCAUGAGAUGGUGUUC
This 29-nucleotide non-coding RNA is filed under the name Rattus norvegicus (Norway rat). Lineage: Eukaryota; Metazoa; Chordata; Mammalia; Rodentia; Muridae. The record is from RNAcentral.